UUUACUUGCAUUCUUUUAGUCCCACAUCGGCUGCAUCUCUGCGUUGUUCAGUGUUUAUAUAGAAGCAGCGAACCAAAUGGUUUGUCCCCUCGGGGACAUCCGAUAAAAUUGGAACGAUACAGAGAAGAUUAGCAUGGCCCCUGCGCAAGGAUGACACGCACAAAUCGAGAAAUGGUCCAAUUUUUUUUGCCGUUUUUGAAUUCGAUUUCUCUCCGUUCAGAUACGUUUCUGCAUUUCAUUUUGCGUUUUUGUUUUCUGUUUUCCUUUCAUGCUUCUGAUUAGAUUUUUACUGUUCUUGAAUCUUUUUGCUGCUAUUAGGUUUUUAUGACAGUUUUGAAAAUGGGGGGAGUGUAUUCCCAGCAAAUUGUUACAACACUUUUUCUUGUUUAUUUUGAUGAUUAAAUUUAGUUUUGAAUUGAAUUUUCUGAUAGGAAAAACAUUAAAUGAUUCCAGGAAAACAAUUGCUAAUCAUAUUGUUGGAAGUUGGAACCCUAAUUUAUAGCCUCUAUGAUUUGGUUAAUUAAUAUGAAUUUAGCCAAGUCUUGAGUGGCUAUUAUGAAUAUGAAUAUGAAUUUGAUUGAUAAUCAUAUUCCAGGAAAUUUUACUUUAUAUUUAGCUAUUCAUGGUUGUUAGUUAGGAAUUUCAUUCAUGAUGUAGCCAAUGCUUUGUGUUGGUUAAUAUUACUGUAUAUACUUGCUUUAAUGUUGAUUAUUGUUGUAACUCUAUUUGGUGGUAAUUGUAUAAAGUUUGUACUAUUAGCUAAAGAUCUAAUAUAAUUAUAGAAGAGGAGUUUGUUGCUAGCAUAAUUUAUUAUAGAAUUUUGUUUACUGAAAUGGUUAACAUGUGUAGUGUAUCAAUUAUUCUGCAUAAUCCUGUGUGUAAAAACUCGGAAUCAUGAGUAAGCCUAUUGGGAUAGAGAUGGAGAUUCCAAAUAGCUAAAGGCUUAAAACUCCAAAGGGCCGGGUCAGUGUAAAAUCUGAUGCCGUUGUUAGUGGUAAAUUGAAUCAAUUCCAAAGGCAUUAUAGUUUCCGUGGAACCAGUAAUCCAGGACUGCAGAGAGCGAAUGAGGCACCAGCUUGGGGAUGCCACUGUCACUCGCUGAACUCUAAGGCACACAAUCUUGUGGGAGUACAGUAGCUUAUAUAGUGGGAUAAAGAAUAUGGACGAGGAAUGCCUCGAGCCUUUCUGUUCAUGCUUUAUGUACUUCGUUAUGAAUAAAAAUUGGAAAAAUAAUUCCUAAGUCUUAAAAAUGUGUAAGUUUUUGUGUUAGUAAAUUUUUUAAUCUCUUAAUUUUCUAACAAUUUCUGAGUGGAGCACUAAGCAUUGAGUAGGACGCUGAAUAAUUAUGAGAAACAGGCAAAGGACAAUCUUGAAUCUUGUGUAGCAAAGCAAUAGAAUUCGUCUUCUUUAAAUCUUCCUCUACUACUAAACAGACUUUGGAUUUAUUUAUUGAAAUGUAGAUUGCCUCCAAGUAAAUGAAAUAUGCAUGUAUAAGAAUUAGUAGUAGAGCUUAGGUGAGCAUUACCAUUUAUUGCUCUGAAGAGAGACAAUACAGUCACACAGUUAUUUAAUUUACACUGACGGAUCAGAUUAAUCCCUAAAUUGCACAUUUAUCUUGAAAUCAAAGACUAGUGUGAAAUCCAAUGAUGUAAACUCAUUGGCUGCACGGAAUCCAUAUCCGUGAUUGUGAUCAAUAGAGUAAUGAGCAUUAGUAUAAUUUACUUUGUAUUAUAUCACAUGUAAAUACUCAGACAAGUGCACUCUUGUAAUUAAAUUUUCAUUUAUACAAAAAAUAAGAACUCUUUCUGCCCUAGUACACUUCCUUCUCUGUUAUUUAAGUUUCACUGUUUUUCUACUGGUGAAAUGGUUGACAUGUGCAGGUGCAACUCAACUAAUCUGCAUAAUUCUGUGGAAAUUGUGGAAAUCUAGGAAUCAUGCUGGCUUCAAUCACCAUUCACCAAGUAGCCAACUCCCUUUGGAAUCUGACAGUUGAAGUCGUGCUUUGGGAGUGAGAUUGUGAUUCCAAAUAGCAAAAGACCUAAAACUCCAAAGAGUCGAUGUAAAAUCUGAUGCAGUCGUUGUCGUCAAUUGCAUCAAUUCCAAAGGCAUAAUAGCUGCCAUGGAACUUGGUACACUUUCUUGGGGAUGCCACUGUCACCCAUAUCAGAAGGAAGCUGAACUCUAAUGCACACAACCUUGUCGUGUUACUAUUCUUUGCGAACCGUUCAGAUCAGUUAUACUAACUGGAAAUUUCUUCAGCAGUUCUCCAUCUCUAACUGGAAAUCGUCAUAGCCCCCUAUCAUAUUCAAAUUUGUAUCUUAAUAUCCUAGAUUAGGUAAUGAAACUGUGUUCUUUUACUAACCCUUGUUUAUGCAUUACAUGAAUUUUCAAUUGUCACAUGAAAAUCUGGCUUAUUUCACAUAAAAGUAAUGUAAAUCUUGAUUACAGAGGAAAUAGAGAGGUGCUAUUUUAGGGGAAUAUACGAAUUGAAAUUUUUCUAUAAUGUGCAGUUUCUCUUAUGCUUGAUUAUGUGAAAGAUUUCAUUGAUGGAAAUUCUUCUAUUAUAGAUCUGCCCUAUGAAACACUGACGCCUGCACGUCGAUAUUUGCAUUUGUUCAUUGGGAAUUUAGUUUGUUGUAUGUAUGGAACGUCAUACCCAAAAUUAUGCAGCACUAUGACAUUGGCUAUAGCUGAGUAAUGGUAUACAACUUUCAACUUUUUGGAUACAUCCCCGAUAUCCAACUUCUUAUUGAGACAUCAUAUUCUAUAAGUUUAACCAUUAAAGGACUUUACAAGUGAUGAAGAAUGAUUCAAAAAUGAUGGAUCAAAAGAACAUUGGAUAUCUGGUUUUUCCUUUCUGUGACUUGAUUUCACUUUUGCAGUUUUGCUCUGGUUUAUGUGUAUAUCAUUUAGUUAAAGUAAUUUAAGGACUGAACAUGUUGCAGAGAAAAACAUGUAGGCAUGAUUGUAUGUUUUUAUCUUUUGUUGCUUUGUUGUGCUAAUGCUAAUGAUCAGUCUUGAAUAGGAAAUCCCUUGACUCAUCAUGCUUGCAUUUUCCGAUCUGAUAUGGAGAAAGAUCUUCAAAUAUUGCUUCAUUCAUUGUCUUAAAAAUUGGUCCAGCAGGCGAAACUAUUUCAAGAGCAGAUAUUUGCUUUGCUUUCAUGAAAUGUUUAUGUUAUUGAAUUAAGAGUUACUUUGGAUUAGUGAAUUUGGUUGUGUGAUUUGCUUAGUGAAUCGUUUUUCCCUUUGUUGGUAAGCAACCUCAAUUAUGUAUAUCUGCAAUUACAAUCAGAAUCUGCUUCUUGUUGUCAUUUUGAAACAAAAUAAACAUCUUUUGAUUGCUAACAAUGGUUACGAGUUUCAAAGAUAUCUAGACUUAAACAUUUUUUGGCAAAAGAUCUUAAGUAGAAAAGUCGUAUGUAAACGUGGACAAAAUGCUAUAUUGAACAAUGCUCAUAGAAAAUAUCAAAUCUUGAGCUGUGUUAUUUAUUCCAUUUGAAAGCUAAUAAAAAGAUCUAACACUCUAUUGCUUAUAGGAAAAGCAAAUUCAACCUCUAACAUAGUAAAAUAGUAGCUAGAUAUU
Trifolium pratense (red clover) is the source of this 3583-nucleotide long non-coding RNA. RefSeq lists it as uncharacterized. The transcript is spliced from 3 exons. Lineage: Eukaryota; Viridiplantae; Streptophyta; Magnoliopsida; Fabales; Fabaceae. The record is from RefSeq and is a predicted model, not a curated record.